This 68-nucleotide transfer RNA is filed under the name Neurosymploca caffra. RNAcentral's name for it is "transfer RNA-Val (GUN)". The record is from RNAcentral. Lineage: Eukaryota; Metazoa; Arthropoda; Insecta; Lepidoptera; Zygaenidae.
CAAAUUAAAGUUUAUUAUUAAAUAUUUCAUUUACAUUGAAAAGAAAUUGGAGUUAUCAUUUAAUUUGA